GAUGAAGAACGUAGCGAAAUGCGAUAAGUAAUGCGAAUUGCAGAAUUCAGUGAGUCAUCGAAUCUUUGAACACACAUUGCGCCCUGUGGUAUUCCGCAGGGCAUGCCUGUUCGAGCGUCAUUUCAACCCUCAAGCUCUGCUUGGUGUUGGGCCCUGCCCGCUGCGGCCGGCCCUAAAGACAGUGGCGGUGCCGCCUGGCCCUGAGCGUAGUACAUCUCUCGCUCCAGUGCCCGGUGGUAGCCUGCCAGAACCCCAACUCUCGUGGUUGACCUCGGAUCAGGUAGGGAUACCCGCUGAACUUAAGCAUAUCAAUAAGCGGAGGA
RNAcentral lists this unclassified non-coding RNA (323 nucleotides) under soil metagenome. Its description in RNAcentral is "partial contains 5.8S ribosomal RNA, internal transcribed spacer 2, and large subunit ribosomal RNA". The stretch from base 1 to 120 matches the Rfam family "5.8S ribosomal RNA", at positions 35 to 154 of the family's 154-position model. The record is from RNAcentral.